RNAcentral lists this ribosomal RNA (1381 nucleotides) under Marcia japonica. RNAcentral describes it as "16S ribosomal RNA". The stretch from base 959 to 1282 matches the Rfam family "Bacterial large subunit ribosomal RNA", at positions 2074 to 2646 of the family's 2925-position model. The record is from RNAcentral. Lineage: Eukaryota; Metazoa; Mollusca; Bivalvia; Venerida; Veneridae.
AAUUUCAUUAUAGGCCUAUUAAGGUUUUUUAAAAUAACUUAAUUUGAACUUGUUUACAAAGUUCAAGCUUAGAAUAUAUAUAUAUACAUAUUCAUAAAUAUAACGUUUAGAAUAAUUAUAAUAUAGUAAAAUAAAAAAAUCUGUCAUAACUGAUUUUGAAGAAUAAUAGUCUUUAAAAAAAUUGUUAUAAAAAGUACUGAGAAGAAAAAGGUUAUUGUCUAUGAAAAGAAAUUAAAAGGAAAAUAUAAAAUUUUUUAACUAUAGUUUUUUUUGUAUCAUAAUUUAUAAAGAUAAAAUAUGGUUUUAGAAUCCCGAAAAUUUUGGAGCUACUUACUCUAUAACGUUUGUUUCAAAAAAUUUAAAAAGGAAUAAGUAGGGGUUAUAUGCCUUUCGAUAAAGUUGAUAGCUGGUUAAGAGAAAAAUAUAUUAGAGUAUAGAGGUAAUUUAACUUAAAUAUUAUUUAAGGUUGGUUAUUAUUGAGACUUCAGGGGAUAAGCUCUGAAGUAAAAACUAAAAAAAAAAGAAAAAGUAGAGUUUAUAUUUCUCAUCUUAUAAAAGGUUAAUAAUAAAAUAAACAAUAAAUUAAAUGUGAGAGUUAUCUCUUAAUUAAUAAGAACUUAAUAUUAAAUUAUAAGUAUAAAAUGAGUAGUUGAAAUAGUAAAGUUAGGUGAAUAUCUGGAAAUUAUUUAUAGUAAAAUUUAUAAAAAAUUACACUUUUAAAAGGAACUCGACAAAAAGAGUCUGUGCCUGUUUAACAAAAACAUGGCUUUUUGGUUUUAAGAAUAAGAAGUCGGGCCUGCCCAGUGAGAAAUAUUAAACGGCUGCAGCGAGAGCUGUACUAAGGUAGCGCGAUAAUUUGUCUUUUAAUUGGAGAAUGGUAUGAAAGGUUUGUCGCGGAUUGGUUGUCUCUUAAAAGUUUAGUGAAGUUUCCUUUUUAGUGAAAAGGCUAAAAAUUAUACAAAAGACGAGAAGACCCUGUCGAGCUUGAUUAGCUUAAAUCUAUUAAUGAGUCUAAGUAAAUGUUAGUUGGGGAAAACUGGGCUUCAUAAAAUAAGCUCACUAAAGCGGAGAUCCUUUUUUAGAGAAAACUGGUAUAAGUUACCGCAGGGAUAACAGCGUUAUUUUCUUUGAGAGAUCUUAUUGAGGAGAAAGUUUGCGACCUCGAUGUUGGAUUAGAAUUACUGUUUGGUGCAGCAGCUAAAAAAAGUGGGACUGUUCGUCCUUUAAAUUUUUACAUGAUCUGAGUUAAAACCGGCGUGAGCUAGGUUGGUUUCUAUCUUUGAAAAAUAUAUUUAUUGUACGAAAGGAUCCAAGUAUAAAAUAAUUAUUUUACUACCUGAUGAGAUUAGGUUAUAAUUAUUAGUUAUGAAAAAUAUAAAUA